AUGUACUCAGGCCCGGCGCUGAGGCAGUGCCACCGGUGCGGCCGCACCGGGCCCCCGAUCGCUAGGGGCCUCACCCAGCUAUGCUAAUACGGCACACAUCGACAAAGAAAAGGAAAGUGCAUCGACUCAAUCUGGCCGGUUCGCGUGAAAACAUCCCUGCGCAUCGUCUUCUCCACUUUGCUCCUCCUUCACUUCUCCGUUUCCCAACACCAAUCCCUGUGCAUUGACUCAAUCUAACCGUUUUGGAGGAGUUAAUGGAGGAGGAGAUCAUGAUUCAUUGAUUCCCAAGAAAUCUCUCUCGACUUUGUAAAUGUUGGUACAAUCCCCUUCUCUAUAUUCUUCAAUAUUAGUUUUUUCUUGCUCAUCCCUUCCGAUUUGAUUUGAUUUGAUUUGUUCUCCACUUCUAUAUACUCCAAGAUUAUGUUAAAUGAUUAAAUUAUAAUUAAAUUAAAUAUCAGAAUUUUUUUC
This is a long non-coding RNA of Lolium rigidum, 468 nucleotides long. RefSeq lists it as uncharacterized. Lineage: Eukaryota; Viridiplantae; Streptophyta; Magnoliopsida; Poales; Poaceae. The transcript has 2 exons. The record is from RefSeq and is a predicted model, not a curated record.